CAAAGGAAUGGCCGUCGUCAACGACUUCUGCUGGGAUAUCUU
RNAcentral lists this transfer RNA (42 nucleotides) under Symbiodinium sp. clade D. Its description in RNAcentral is "partial Selenocysteine transfer RNA". Lineage: Eukaryota; Dinophyceae; Suessiales; Symbiodiniaceae. The record is from RNAcentral.